UAUAGCUCAGUGGUAGAGUGUGUCCUUAGCAUGCACAAGGUCCUGGGUUCAACCCCUAGUA
Molecule: transfer RNA, 61 nt
Filed under: Camelus ferus (Wild Bactrian camel)
Lineage: Eukaryota; Metazoa; Chordata; Mammalia; Artiodactyla; Camelidae
Rfam family: tRNA
About the family: Transfer RNA (tRNA) molecules are approximately 80 nucleotides in length. Their secondary structure includes four short double-helical elements and three loops (D, anti-codon, and T loops).
Source: Rfam by way of RNAcentral